CCUACGGGAGGCAGCAGUGAGGAAUAUUGGUCAAUGGGCGAGAGCCUGAACCAGCCAAGUAGCGUGCAGGAUGACGGCCCUAUGGGUUGUAAACUGCUUUUAUAAGGGAAUAAAGUGAGUCUCGUGAGACUUUUUGUCAUGUACCUUAUGAAUAAGGACCGGCUAAUUCCGUGCCAGCAG
Molecule: ribosomal RNA, 180 nt
Filed under: uncultured bacterium
Lineage: Bacteria
Description: partial 16S ribosomal RNA
Rfam family: Bacterial small subunit ribosomal RNA
Source: RNAcentral